UAUGCCUCCAUUUCAGAGAAGAAAGGCAGGCAUGCUUCCGUCCUCUCGCCCCUCGCCGGCGGCGACGGCCUUCGCAGAGCAGCAGCUGAAGCAGCUCCGGGCACAGUGCCUCGUGUUCCUCGCUUUCAGCAGAGAGAUGAAUCUGAUCUGGGCGGUGAUUGAUGACUUCUUGUGUGUUCUUCUGAAUGAUCAAAUCUGAUCUGGGAGUAUUAUGUAGAAACAACAUGGAGCCCAAGAAGAAGCAUCUGGAAAUUGCACUUGGUCAAUGUUCUGCGGAAGGCAGCGGUGGCGGAGAAGGAGACCAGCAAGAAGCCGACAAGGAUGACAGCCGCGGCCAAACCGGGUCGUCUUCGUCUUCGCCGGUGUCAUUCUCUGCAGCGACUGCUGGGUUGCCACCGCCGGAUCUUGCGGCCCUGUCCUCGCUGCGUCUGUCGAGUCACCCGGGCGGCCGAACCAGGAGAGUGAUACGUCGAGGAGUUGGCAAAAUUCAGUGAUUGAAUGGGAUUGCAUCAGAAUGGUUUCACUCUUAUUCUACACUUUCCAGCAAUUCAUCGUCAUCUUCAGAAAUCAGAGCGUAGUGAUGAGAUGUCGUCUUGUGUAUUUUUCGUACUACUCGUGAACAGGGUUGUAUAUACAGGAUUGGUACGGUGUAUUGUUCUCCCAAAUUCAUUUUAUCGUUACCAACUUAUGGUCAAA
Molecule: RNA transcript, 696 nt
Organism: Setaria italica (foxtail millet)
Lineage: Eukaryota; Viridiplantae; Streptophyta; Magnoliopsida; Poales; Poaceae
Gene name: chromatin structure-remodeling complex protein SYD
Exons: 3
Source: RefSeq, a predicted model, not a curated record